RNAcentral lists this ribosomal RNA (468 nucleotides) under uncultured bacterium. RNAcentral's name for it is "partial 16S ribosomal RNA". It matches the Rfam family "Bacterial small subunit ribosomal RNA", at positions 28 to 507 of the family's 1533-position model. The record is from RNAcentral.
GACGAACGCUGGCGGCGUGCUUAACACAUGCCAGUCGAACGGAAAGGCCCUGCUUUUGUGGGGUGCUCGAGUGGCGAACGGGUGAGUAACACGUGAGUAACCUGCCCUUGACUUUGGGAUAACUUCAGGAAACUGGGGCUAAUACCGGAUAGGAGCUCCUGCUGCAUGGUGGGGGUUGGAAAGUUUCGGCGGUUGGGGAUGGACUCGCGGCUUAUCAGCUUGUUGGUGGGGUAGUGGCUUACCAAGGCUUUGACGGGUAGCCGGCCUGAGAGGGUGACCGGCCACUUUGGGACUGAGAUACGGCCCAGACUCCUACGGGAGGCAGCAGUGGGGAAUAUUGCACAAUGGGCGGAAGCCUGAUGCAGCAACGCCGCGUGCGGGAUGACGGCCUUCGGGUUGUAAUCCGCUUUCGCCUGUGACGAAGCGUGAGUGACGGUAAUGGGUAAAGAAGCACCGGCUAACUACGUG